ACGCCUUAUACAUGCAAGUCGAACGAAGUAGCAAUACUUAGUGGCAGACGGGUGAGUAACAUGUGGGUAUCUUCCCUAUGGUGAGGAAUAACACGAGGAAACUUGUGCUAAUACCUCAUAAGUCUUUACGGAGAAAGCUUUAUGCGCCAUUGGAUGAGCCCGCACUUGAUUAGUUUGUUGGUAGGGUAACGGCCUACCAAGACUGUGAUCAAUAGCUGAUUUGAGAGGAUGAUCAGCCACAUUGGGACUGAGACACGGCCCAAACUCCUACGGGAGGCAGCAGUAAGGAAUCUUGCACAAUGGAGGAAACUCUGAUGCAGCGAUGCCGCGUGAGUGAAGAAGGCCUUUGGGUUGUAAAGCUCUUUCGUCGGGGAAGAAAAUGACUGUACCCGAAUAAGAAGGUCCGGCUAACUUCGUGCCAGCAGCCGCGGUAAUACGAAGGGACCUAGCGUAGUUCGGAAUUACUGGGCUUAAAGAGUUCGUAGGUGGUUAAAAAAGUUGGUGGUGAAAUCCCAGAGCUUAACUCUGGAACUGCCAUCAAAACUUUUUAGCUAGAGUAUGAUAGAGGAAAGCAGAAUUUCUAGUGUAGAGGUGAAAUUCGUAGAUAUUAGAAAGAAUACCAAUUGCGAAGGCAGCUUUCUGGAUCAUUACUGACACUGAGGAACGAAAGCAUGGGUAGCGAAGAGGAUUAGAUACCCUCGUAGUCCAUGCCGUAAACGAUGUGUGUUAGACGUUGGAAAUUUAUUUUCAGUGUCGCAGCGAAAGCGAUAAACACACCGCCUGGGGAGUACGACCGCAAG
RNAcentral lists this ribosomal RNA (800 nucleotides) under uncultured Pelagibacteraceae bacterium. Its description in RNAcentral is "bacterial SSU rRNA". It matches the Rfam family "Bacterial small subunit ribosomal RNA", at positions 44 to 892 of the family's 1533-position model. The record is from RNAcentral. Lineage: Bacteria; Pseudomonadati; Pseudomonadota; Alphaproteobacteria; Candidatus Pelagibacterales; Candidatus Pelagibacteraceae.